CCUACGGGUGGCAGCAGUGGGGAAUAUUGGGCAAUGGGCGCAAGCCUGACCCAGCAACGCCGCGUGAAGGAAGAAGGCUUUCGGGUUGUAAACUUCUUUUAAGAGGGAAGAGCAGAGGACGAUGCCUCUUGAAUAGGCCACGGCUAACUACGUGCCAGCAGCCGCGGUAAUCCGUAGGUGGCAGGCGUUGUGCGGAUUUAGUGGGUGUAAAGGGCGUGCAGGCGGGAAGACAAGUCAGUUGUGAAAUCCCGCGGCUCAACCGGGGAAAUGCAUUUGAAACUGUUUUUCUUGAGUACCGGAGAGGUCAUCGGAAUUCCUUGUGUAGCGGUGAAAUGCGUAGAUAUAAGGAAGAACACCAGUGGCGAAGGCGGAUGACUGGACGGCAACUGACGGUGAGGCGCGAAAGCGUGGGGAGCAAACAGGAUUAGAUACCCUUGUAGUC
Molecule: ribosomal RNA, 442 nt
Filed under: uncultured bacterium
Lineage: Bacteria
Description: partial 16S ribosomal RNA
Rfam family: Bacterial small subunit ribosomal RNA
Source: RNAcentral